AAUCAACGCUGGCGGCGUGCCUCAGACAUGCAAGUCGAACGAUUAAACUUUCCUUCGGGAAAGAUAUAAAGUGGCGCACGGGUGAGUAACACGUAAGUAAUCUACCUUUGAGUGGGGAAUAACGUUCGGAAACGAACGCUAAUACCGCAUAAUGCAGCGGCACCUAAUGGUGACAGUUGUUAAAGGAGCAAUCCGCUUAAAGAGGAGCUUGCGGCAGAUUAGCUAGUUGGUAAGGAACGGCUUACCAAGGCUACGAUCUGUAACCGGUCUAAGAGGACGGUCGGUCACACUGGCACUGAAUAACGGGUCAGACUCCUACGGGAGGCAGCAGUCGGGAAUUUUGGGCAAUGGGCGAAAGCCUGACCCAGCAACGCCGCGUGAAGGAUGAAGUAUUUCGGUA
This 400-nucleotide ribosomal RNA is filed under the name uncultured bacterium. Its description in RNAcentral is "bacterial SSU rRNA". It matches the Rfam family "Bacterial small subunit ribosomal RNA", at positions 32 to 423 of the family's 1533-position model. The record is from RNAcentral.